RNAcentral lists this ribosomal RNA (254 nucleotides) under uncultured bacterium. RNAcentral's name for it is "partial 16S ribosomal RNA". It matches the Rfam family "Bacterial small subunit ribosomal RNA", at positions 524 to 777 of the family's 1533-position model. The record is from RNAcentral.
UACGUAGGGGGCUAGCGUUGUCCGGAAUCAUUGGGCGUAAAGCGCGUGUAGGCGGUUCGGUAAGUCCGCUGUGAAAGUCGGGGGCUCAACCCUCGAAUGCCGGUGGAUACUGUCGGACUAGAGUACGGAAGAGGCGAGUGGAAUUCCUGGUGUAGCGGUGAAAUGCGCAGAUAUCAGGAGGAACACCGAUGGCGAAGGCAGGUCUCUGGGCCAUAACUGACGCUGAGAAGCGAAAGCAUGGGGAGCGAACAGGA